UCUGUCGCUUAUGAUCUUGUGCUUG
This 25-nucleotide unclassified non-coding RNA is filed under the name Mus musculus (house mouse). RNAcentral's name for it is "oocyte_clustered_small_RNA678". Lineage: Eukaryota; Metazoa; Chordata; Mammalia; Rodentia; Muridae. The record is from RNAcentral.